Molecule: transfer RNA, 74 nt
Organism: Vitis vinifera (wine grape)
Lineage: Eukaryota; Viridiplantae; Streptophyta; Magnoliopsida; Vitales; Vitaceae
Rfam family: tRNA
About the family: Transfer RNA (tRNA) molecules are approximately 80 nucleotides in length.
Source: Rfam
GGGAUUGUAGUUUAAUUGGUCUGAGCAAUGCCCUUGCAAUGCGGAAGUUGCGGGUUUGAGCCCCGUCAAUCUCA